This 492-nucleotide ribosomal RNA is filed under the name uncultured bacterium. RNAcentral's name for it is "partial 16S ribosomal RNA". It matches the Rfam family "Bacterial small subunit ribosomal RNA", at positions 29 to 507 of the family's 1533-position model. The record is from RNAcentral.
AGUGAACGCUGGCGGUAGGCCUAACACAUGCAAGUCGAACGGCAGCACAGUAAGAGCUUGCUCUUACGGGUGGCGAGUGGCGGACGGGUGAGGAAUACAUCGGAAUCUACUUUUUCGUGGGGGAUAACGUAGGGAAACUUACGCUAAUACCGCAUACGACCUACGGGUGAAAGCAGGGGAUCUUCGGACCUUGCGCGAUUGAAUGAGCCGAUGUCGGAUUAGCUAGUUGGCGGGGUAAAGGCCCACCAAGGCGACGAUCCGUAGCUGGUCUGAGAGGAUGAUCAGCCACACUGGAACUGAGACACGGUCCAGACUCCUAGGGGAGGCAGCAGUGGGGAAUAUUGGACAAUGGGCGCAAGCCGGAUCCAGCCAUACCGCGUGGGUGAAGAAGGCCUUCGGGUUGUAAAGCCCUUUUGUUGGGAAAGAAAAGCAGCAGGUUAAUACCCCGCUGUUCUGACGGUACCCAAAGAAUAAGCACCGGCUAACUUCGUG